AAAAUCUAGACGAAAGUCUGCCAACCUCUGUGAACUUGCCUGAUCAGGUGGUGACUGUCAAGUUGGGACGGUUUCCGUCUCGAUGCAAUAGUCGUCACCUUUAUUUUACUAUAAAUAUACAAUCUACUUCAUUACCCGAUGUGCCUUGUGCCAUCAAAAAAA
RNAcentral lists this unclassified non-coding RNA (162 nucleotides) under soil metagenome. RNAcentral describes it as "partial internal transcribed spacer 1". The record is from RNAcentral.